GACGAACGCUGGCGGCGUGCUUAACACAUGCAAGUCGAACGGUGAACGAGGGAGCUUGCUCCCUCCGGGUCAGUGGCGAACGGGUGAGUAACACGUGAGCAAUCUGCCCCGAACUCUGGGAUAAGCGUUGGAAACGACGUCUAAUACCGGAUACGACGCGGGAGGGCAUCCUCUCCGCGUGGAAAGAACUUCGGUUCGGGAUGAGCUCGCGGCCUAUCAGCUUGUUGGUGAGGUAACGGCUCACCAAGGCGACGACGGGUAGCCGGCCUGAGAGGGUGACCGGCCACACUGGGACUGAGACACGGCCCAGACUCCUACGGGAGGCAGCAGUGGGGAAUAUUGCACAAUGGGCGCAAGCCUGAUGCAGCAACGCCGCGUGAGGGACGACGGCCUUCGGGUUGUAAACCUCUUUUAGCAGGGAAGAAGCGAAAGUGACGGUACCUGCAGAAAAAGCACCGGCUAACUACGUG
This 470-nucleotide ribosomal RNA is filed under the name uncultured bacterium. RNAcentral describes it as "partial 16S ribosomal RNA". It matches the Rfam family "Bacterial small subunit ribosomal RNA", at positions 28 to 507 of the family's 1533-position model. The record is from RNAcentral.